RNAcentral lists this long non-coding RNA (2164 nucleotides) under Olea europaea subsp. europaea. The record is from RNAcentral. Lineage: Eukaryota; Viridiplantae; Streptophyta; Magnoliopsida; Lamiales; Oleaceae.
CACAUCUUUCAUGGGUCCCACAACUUUUCAACCGCACAUUUUAAAAUUUUUUAUCACAAUCUACUAAAAAAUCUAAUUUAAUCCCCACCAAACACUCAAUGUGCAACUUUUGGUUGAUUGUCGCCCUAUACUUUUAUCCUUAAAUAUCCCGUGGCCUCUCAUGCAAGAUGAUUAGAGCUGGAUUCUAAUGGUGAGAGCAAAAGCUGUUAAUUAUAUGUUUGUAAUUGUGUAGCUAGUUUUUUUUAUUGUUUGAGCUUUGACACGUCACUGCCAAUGAUUAUUAGGACAUGAAAAUGUUUCCAAUUAAGACCUACUGAAGUAGGUAUUUGGAUGAGCUUGAGCUAAUGGGAGUUCUCCUUGUUCCCUCAUUUUAUCUCCCCAUGCUGAGAGAUAUCUUGUUUCCCACGAGGCUUGAUGGAAAUCUUUCAUUUUUUCUGAAUCUGAUUAUGAGUCUUAUCUUACUCCCACUGGCACACAGAUACAUGUAUGCAAUGUUCUAGAUGUAAGAAAAUGAUCAGUGUGCCGCCCACCAAAUUCCAAGAUCCAAGCUAUUGAACCUUGGAAAUAUGAAGACUUGAUUUAUUUUAUGUAUUUAUUUUAGGAUGGACUUCACUUGUUCAUGUGUUGUGAAACAGUGCUUCGCAUGCUGCAGUGUUAGAUACUAUCUUCAGAACUACACAUGAGACUCUCUUGGAUCAUGUAAUGAAUUUUUAUCGCUUGCAGAAAUUUCAGCAUAAAUACUAGGUUGGUUGAGCUCUUUUCAUAUUGAGGACUUAAUAAUAUCUCUAUUCUGUUGAUUUUUGUCCAGGAGGAGAAGAUUAAUACUGUCAAUGGGCAGAAAGAAAAGGGAAGACUGGAACGGCAGGAGUGUGAAGGUGAUCUAAGCAUAUCCUCGAUUUAACAUUAUGCUGUGUUGUCAUAUUUUUGUGUUAAAUUUUUUUUCCUUCCAAUGAAUCUGAGAAACUUUUCGUACGAUUUUUGCCUUACUGGGCUUUCAUUAUCAUUUGAGUAGAAAUGCGAUUUGGUACCAAUGGCAUUAAAACAGAUGAGUCCAAUUAAUUAGAUUAUAUAUUCUCUCAUAUAGUUAACUUUAAUUGUACUUAUCCUUUAAUGCCAAGCGAACUAAAAUAAAUUAAACUGGUGUUUUAGCAUUAAUGUGCCAGAUAGCAUUAUUUUUAUCUUGUAUUUAACUUUUUUUUUUUUGGAUGAUUAAUAGAUGUUGCUCAAGACACAGCUGGUUGACAUUAAAAUAACAAGGAAUCUUCAGCGUCAAAAUAACUGCAGAAUUUCUCAAAGAAUAAAGAAUCAUACCAAUUCAACAAAUUGUUUGCGGAAUUUAUCACCUUUCCUUUUAUUUCAUCCAAAGAAAUCUUUAUUGCUUUUUCUUUCCAGCUCAGGAAAAGUUUCGUUGUCGAUCAUGUCCAUAUAAGAAUCCAGUUUUUCUUCUCUCAGUCUGGCCAUACAAAACUUUUAAAAUACAAACCUUAAAGUUUCAACCAUCUUUCUGCUCAAUAUUUUCAGAAGCUCUUUUCCUCAAAUUUUGCUUUUCUAUUUGAAACUGGCUUGUUGUGCCCAUAAAACUUUAUUAAGGCAUGAUUGUUUUGAAUUUUGCCCUUUCUUUUUCAUAAUGGGUUUGUAUUUUGGCCAUUCUUUUCACGUCAUCUACAUUGCAUAACUGUUCGAGAUUUUUGCCCGUGCACUUCAAUUUUGUCUUCAGUAAUUUCCAUCUCUUGAAAUCGUCAUUCAAUUCCUUUGCAUAGUUCCCGAGAGGAUUGUAGUUGUAUCCCAUUGAAAAAGUCAACCUAGCAUCAUUAGCAAAUUCCUCUGCAUCAAAGUAUGUAUUGUCCUCUAGUUUACUUUUUAUCGUUCCAAAAUCCAUUGGUUCAAUGGUUAUUGAAAUCAAGAGAUCAUUGGUUGAUUUAAAGAAAAUCUGUGAGGGUGUCCAUCAAUGAUCUCAAAAUGCGACUACACUGGUAACCUCAUUUGUAUAAAAGUUGAAGACAAUAAAAGUUGUUUGUCUACGUAGAAUUAGUUUGGCAAAUGCUUCGUUUCAUUUUAUUCUUUUGUCAAAUGAUAAUGACAUGUAAUAUAUGUUGUAUAUACAAGUAAAUUAAUUAUGAAUAAUAAUAAUAUAUGUUGUCAAAUUUUAUUGCAGUCAAAUGAG